AGGACGAACGCUGGCGGCGUGCUUAACACAUGCAAGUCGAACGGUGACGUAAGGAGCUUGCUCCUUGCUGAUCAGUGGCGAACGGGUGAGUAACACGUGAGCAAUCUGCCCUUGACUCUGGGAUAACCUCGGGAAACUGAAGCUAAUACCGGAUACGACGCGCGAAGGCAUCUUCUGCGCGUGGAAAGAAUUUCGGUCAAGGAUGAGCUCGCGGCCUAUCAGCUAGUUGGUGAGGUAAUGGCUCACCAAGGCUUCGACGGGUAGCCGGCCUGAGAGGGUGACCGGCCACACUGGGACUGAGACACGGCCCAGACUCCUACGGGAGGCAGCAGUGGGAAUAUUGCACAAUGGGCGCAAGCCUGAUGCAGCAACGCCGCGUGAGGAUGACGGCCUUCGGUGUAACCUCUUUAGUAGGAAGAGACGAAAGUGACGGUACCUGACAAGAAAAAGACAACCGGCUAAACUACGUAGCCAGCAGCCGA
This 482-nucleotide ribosomal RNA is filed under the name uncultured soil bacterium. RNAcentral describes it as "bacterial SSU rRNA". It matches the Rfam family "Bacterial small subunit ribosomal RNA", at positions 26 to 518 of the family's 1533-position model. The record is from RNAcentral.